Molecule: non-coding RNA, 2693 nt
Organism: Pelodiscus sinensis (Chinese soft-shelled turtle)
Lineage: Eukaryota; Metazoa; Chordata; Testudines; Trionychidae
Source: RefSeq, a predicted model, not a curated record
CCAGGGCCGGGGAAAGAGAGAGAGAAUGAGUUUGAAGUUCUGCAUCAAAGUAAGACUUCACCAGACAGUGUGAACAUCUGAGAUUUCUCAGCCUUCCGCUUGGGGGAGGAUUAGUCUGGAGAAAUGUGCAAGGUCACCCUUUGAGUGUGAUCUCUCACUUUUGCAAGGAAAGGGAUGCAUAACCUUUCUACUGAUUUGAAAACAGCCUUUAAGGUAUUCACACAUGACCAGCUGCCAGAAACACGUUCCCUAUGAGCUUCGCUAUAUCACUGUUACUAUAGGCUGUAAUGUUUUCUAGGCAUUUUCUGUUCUGAUACUGCUAAAAAGUCAUUUUCAUUUCUCCCAGCCCUCGUCACAGUUAGUGUCAAAUUACUGCUUGUAGAGCCAUUGUAAUGCAAACACCAUUAAUAUCUUUUUGACCCAUUGCUAUGUCACACCGUUCUGGAUAGCACACAGACAUAGUGUUGCUCAAUGAUUGGAAAGAGAAGAUAUACAAACACACCAAUGAUUAACUUAGUAAGGCGCAGUUCUGUUUUGGAUCUAACCAACUGCCCAGUGCCAUUUUGGUUUAAGAGAAAAGUAGCACGAUGACAAGUGGAGGAAGAUUGUGGAAAAAUUAUGUUUCUCCAUCUAGAGAUAACCCAGGUCAUUAAAUUAUGGGGCAUCUCUAGGAUUCUUAAUAUAAACCUCACAUUAGCCUUAGUGUCUCAUUCAAGCAUAGGCUAUAGUGGGCUUUGGAACCAUGCUGGAAAAUUUUGUUUUGUAUUUAAACUCAGGGUGAGUUAAACUGGUUUCAAACAGGGCUUGGCUAAACAUAUAAAUGGGAACAACCUAUUUCAAAACCAUUAAAAAGAAACAACCAUACUUGCACAAGGUGGGAAUCUAGUUGAACAGUGGCACUGUGAAAGAAGUGAGGCUUUCAAAAGCAGUAUUAGACUAACCUGGCCUCAUUUAUAAGGAUGAGCCAAACUUUGGAUGAAACUAGUUUGGCUGGAAUCGAGUUUAACCUGAAUUCCAACCUCCUUUUUGAGCAUGGUUCAAAGCCCAGUGGGGAUAGGGCCUUUAAUUCUUCAGUUUGCAUUGUUAGAAUCUAGUGCAAAAUGUCAUCUUAUCACAGCAGUGCAGGCACGCAGUGUCCUACCCCCCCGGCAAAAGAUGGCCAUCAUCCUGUCAGAUCUCACAGAAGGAGUUUGCAGCAAUCAGCCAGAAGAGCUCAAAUUAAAGAAGGUUGUUAUUUUACCCCACUAGGAAAGGCACUCUGGCAGGGCCGGCCCACAACAUUUUGGCACCUGAGGCGGGGAGCUCAAAUGAUGCCCCCAUACCUCCUCGCUUGUGCCAAAACUUUGAAAGGUCUCAAUUCUCUGGGUCAUAGUGGUGACCCCCCACAGUCUGGUACCUGAGGUGGCCCUGCACUCUGGACCCAGCAGCCUCAGUCAACCCUCAGCUUCAUUCUUUCCUGACAUAGUCAUGGGACUGCCACUAGCAACACAUGCAGUUGGCUUUACUACAGCAGAAGACAGCUCUACUUACUCUCUUCCAAACUUUACCAAAAGGGGUGGUUAAAACUAACCAGUCACUGGUACUUCAGGGCUCCCUAGAGACACACUCUCCUCAAACCAAACACUGCUUCCCCAGAUAGAGAUGUUUUCUCCCUGCCCUCUAGAACAGCCCUCCCCAAUAGUCUAACAAUUUUCUCAAGUAACCCUCUUUCUGACUACAGGGUUCCAAUGUUUCCUUCACACCAAGGUACUUGUGAAGCCAGAUGUUUACUUCUGCUAUGAAACUUGCUAGUUUGUAGAGAAGUAGGAGGAGGCUUUCAAGGGGGUAAAUGGACAGAUAGGGACACAACUAUGCACUCAACUCCCAUUGUUCAGCUUUUGAAAAUCUUCACUCCCUGACCUUUUUUUGGGCCAAGAGUUGACUCCUGCACAGCAGGACUGGAGCAGGUACGCUCAAAGGCUUGGUCUUCUUCACAAAGGGCAGUGUUUCCAUAGUUGGAGUAAUUUGAUUAAUCUCUACCCUCUACCACUCUUUAAUUUUAUUACACUUGAGCAAUUCAGUGCUCUAUUGUGAGGUUGUGGCCUACAUGCAGUUAUAGCAGGGGUGAAUCUGGCUCCAUAUUGCUAACAGUUCUUUUGUAUUAUUCAUGUUCAAGUCAAGGUAUAGACCAACCUACUUCAUGGCUAGUUCAACUCUGGAUUCUGUUUGUUUCCUGCCAAAAGACUCCAUUAAGCUUAGCUAUCCAUGUGAAGGGCACAUGAAAGAAUCUUGGAACACUGAUCAAUCUCAAAAGGAACUUAUAAAUGCUACUGGGGAUGUUCUGUAUAAGCAAGAAUAUUGCAAAUUUGGGCAGUUACAUUGCAUUCCUCCCCCGACACACAGGCUUGACCAGCACUUCUUAAAACACAUGUUCAUAAUUCUUGUUUAUUGCACUGUUCCCUUAACAGCCCUCUGAAAGAAGUGCUAUUUCAAUGACCUUCCUUCUUUUGGUAGCCUGUUUCACCCUUUGGGCUGAGAGUUCUUGCUUGGACUAAAGGAAUACAAACUAGGGAUACGGAGCAAUCGAGUGCUUGUCUAGGAGUACGUCCAAUGUUUGAAUCUGUACUUGAGAUUAGUGACUUUGUGCUGAAGCCUAGAACAGGGCCUAGAAUGUCAUAUUGAGCAGUUCUCCGAGAUCUCCUUCAGUCCGCACA